RNAcentral lists this ribosomal RNA (535 nucleotides) under Salmonella enterica subsp. salamae. RNAcentral's name for it is "partial 23S ribosomal RNA". It matches the Rfam family "Bacterial large subunit ribosomal RNA", at positions 711 to 1224 of the family's 2925-position model. Lineage: Bacteria; Pseudomonadati; Pseudomonadota; Gammaproteobacteria; Enterobacterales; Enterobacteriaceae. The record is from RNAcentral.
AGACCCGAAACCCGGUGAUCUAGCCAUGGGCAGGUUGAAGGUUGGGUAACACUAACUGGAGGACCGAACCGACUAAUGUUGAAAAAUUAGCGGAUGACCUGUGGCUGGGGGUGAAAGGCCAAUCAAACCGGGAGAUAGCUGGUUCUCCCCGAAAGCUAUUUAGGUAGCGCCUCGUGAAUUCAUCUCCGGGGGUAGAGCACUGUUUCGGCUAGGGGGCCAUCCCGGCUUACCAACCCGAUGCAAACUGCGAAUACCGGAGAAUGUUAUCACGGGAGACACACGGCGGGUGCUAACGUCCGUCGUGAAGAGGGAAACAACCCAGACCGCCAGCUAAGGUCCCAAAGUCAUGGUUAAGUGGGAAACGAUGUGGGAAGGCCCAGACAGCCAGGAUGUUGGCUUAGAAGCAGCCAUCAUUUAAAGAAAGCGUAAUAGCUCACUGGUCGAGUCGGCCUGCGCGGAAGAUGUAACGGGGCUAAACCAUGCACCGAAGCUGCGGCAGCGAACGUAUCACUUAAAACGAUUCAGAAGCUUACGA